This 502-nucleotide ribosomal RNA is filed under the name uncultured bacterium. RNAcentral's name for it is "partial 16S ribosomal RNA". It matches the Rfam family "Bacterial small subunit ribosomal RNA", at positions 28 to 507 of the family's 1533-position model. The record is from RNAcentral.
GACGAACGCUGGCGGCGUGCCUAAUACAUGCAAGUCGAACGAACCGCGACUAAGUGCUUGCACUGAUUGAGGGGGAGUGGCGAACGUGUGAGGAACACGAGGGUAACCUACCUCAUAGUUGGGUAUAACAGACGGAAACGACUGCUAAUACCGCAUAGCACAUAGGAGCACAUGAUCCGAAGAGGACAGCUGGCGCAAGCUAUCGCUAAGAGAUGGACCCGCGGUGCAUUGGCUUGUUGGAAGGGUAAAUGCCUACCAAGGCGAGGAUGCAUAGUCCACGUGAGAGAGUGAUCGGCGACAUUGGGAGUGAGACACCGCCCUAACGCCUACGGGAGGCAGCAGUAGGGAAUCUUACGCAAUGGUCGCAAGUCUGACGGAGCAACGCCGCGUGUGUUACGAAGGUCUUCGGAUCGUAAAGCUCUGUUGUUAGAGAAGAACCGCGCAUAGAGUAAAUGCUAUGCGUGUGACGGUAUCUAAUCAGAAAGCCACGGCUAACUACGUG